GCAAAAAGCUCCACUUUGAAAGCGUUUCGACGCGUUGUAGUGCGGYUCAGUCUUUGAGUGACGGAUGACUAAGUCCCCUGGAACGGGGUGCCAUAGAGGGUGAGAGCCCCGUGAGUUGUCUUUUUAGCUCUUUAAGUCUUUACCAAAGAGUCGAGUUGUUUGGGAAUGCAGCUCUAAGUGGGUGGUAAAUUCCAUCUAAGGCUAAAUACCGGCGAGAGACCGAUAGCGAACAAGUACAGUGAUGGAAAGAUGAAAAGCACUUUGAAAAGAGAGUGAAACAGUACGUGAAAUUGUUGAAAGGGAAGGGUAUUUGGCCCGACAUGGGUUCUGUGCACCGUUGCCUCUUGUAGGCGGCGCUCUGCUGGAGCCUGGGCCAGCAUCAGUUUUCCGGCGAGGAUAAGAAGUUUUGAACCACAUUGUGG
Molecule: ribosomal RNA, 422 nt
Filed under: Saturnispora diversa
Lineage: Eukaryota; Fungi; Ascomycota; Pichiomycetes; Pichiales; Pichiaceae
Description: partial large subunit ribosomal RNA
Source: RNAcentral